UACGUAGGGGGCGAGCGUUGUCCGGAUUUAUUGGGCGUAAAGAGCUCGUAGGCGGUCUGUCACGUCGGCUGUGAAAUCCCGAGGCUCAACCUCGGGUCUGCAGUCGAUACGGGCAAACUAGAGUAUUGCAGGGGAGACUGGAAUUCCUGGUGUAGCGGUGAAAUGCGCAGAUAUCAGGAGGAACACCGGUGGCGAAGGCGGGUCUCUGGGCAAUAACUGACGCUGAGGAGCGAAAGCGUGGGGAGCGAACAGG
This 253-nucleotide ribosomal RNA is filed under the name uncultured bacterium. Its description in RNAcentral is "partial 16S ribosomal RNA". It matches the Rfam family "Bacterial small subunit ribosomal RNA", at positions 524 to 776 of the family's 1533-position model. The record is from RNAcentral.